CCUGAUAGCUCAAUCAGCAAAGAAUCUGCCUGCAAUGCAGGAGACCCAGGUUCAAUUCCUGGGUCAGGA
RNAcentral lists this transfer RNA (69 nucleotides) under Bos taurus (domestic cattle). It matches the Rfam family "tRNA". Rfam says of the family: Transfer RNA (tRNA) molecules are approximately 80 nucleotides in length. Their secondary structure includes four short double-helical elements and three loops (D, anti-codon, and T loops). The record is from Rfam by way of RNAcentral. RNAcentral also lists the same sequence under 1 other name. Lineage: Eukaryota; Metazoa; Chordata; Mammalia; Artiodactyla; Bovidae.